Molecule: non-coding RNA, 82 nt
Organism: Streptococcus pseudopneumoniae 5247
Lineage: Bacteria; Bacillati; Bacillota; Bacilli; Lactobacillales; Streptococcaceae
Source: Rfam
GACAUUUGAGGGCAGAAAGGUUCCUGCCACACCUUGCAAAAGGGUAUCUGAGAUGCUGGGUACACCGACCAGCCAAAGGGUC